GAUUCUGCAGGCACUGGCUACCAUGUUUUGUGCUGUCUUAUGGAGAGGCCAAAGUGGCAAGGAGCUGAGGAUGGUCUCUGGCCAACAGCCCAUGAGGACCUGAAUCUUGACAACAACCAUCACAGCACACCAGAGAGUCAACUGUUUCUCCUCAUGAUUGAAGGGCUGACAGGGAUCUGUGUUUUCUGCCACUGACUAGCAUCAUAGAGAGUCUAGCGUGGAACAUUGCCAGCCUGGGAAAAAAAAAUAAAUUUCAAAGUUGGAAAUAUGAUUGCUACUGAAGUUCUGGGCGUGGAUAAUGAGAAGACCCACCCUGUGUGUGAGUGCUACCCAGGUACCCUGAAAGAGGGCUGCUGCCAUUGCUUGCUGCUCGCUGCUUUGCUGCCUUCUGCCGACCAUGGACUGUUUCUCCUCUGUGACACCCCUCUGCCAUGACACCCUGCCUUAGAGAUAGCAAAUUAUGGACUGAAAUCUCUACAAAC
Molecule: long non-coding RNA, 482 nt
Filed under: Heterocephalus glaber (naked mole-rat)
Lineage: Eukaryota; Metazoa; Chordata; Mammalia; Rodentia; Bathyergidae
Description: lncRNA (ENSHGLG00000050696.1)
Source: RNAcentral